Molecule: long non-coding RNA, 818 nt
Filed under: Prunus persica (peach)
Lineage: Eukaryota; Viridiplantae; Streptophyta; Magnoliopsida; Rosales; Rosaceae
Description: long non-coding RNA (PPER_LNC000839)
Source: RNAcentral
UAACUGGAUCAUCAAGCCUUAUAUUGUCUUUGCUGAGCCGAUACGAGCUUGAAUGAUAUUUGAGCAAAGUUUCUCCCACCUAAGGAUGUAAGCAAUACCUGUGUUAUUUCAUGCGUGUACUCGUAUUUUGAUAUUUUGUACGACAUCCUUAAAGGUAAACAAAUGGGGAGUUAAGGUCGUUCCAGAAGAACGCCAUGCAAAGGACUAUUCCAGAAGAAUAACUUGCAUUAUAGAUCGUUCCAAAAGAAUGACUUAUAUUAUGACCAUUCCAGAAGAAUGGCUUGUAUCAUUCUAAUAUGUAUUCAUAAAUUAUUAAUGCAAAUUUCAUAGAUUGCAAGUUGAAUACAUUGAUAAUACACUGCAUAGUUUAAAGUUCCAUAAGAUCAGAAUAUGGGUAUAGCAGUGAUCAAUAUAAUGCACGCCUGUUGCAUAGCAAAUGAUAUGGAUUGAAUUCCCGGAAGGACAAUCCAUUAACAUGUCAAUAUUAAUACCGUGCACACCUAAUGCGUAGUAAAUUAUAUGGUUUAAAGUCCCAUAAGGAAAAUUAUUGGACAUGUAUGUAUUAAUUUAUGACAUGCCUGCAGCAUGACAGAUAUAUGAGUUCGAAAUGUUCCAACUCCCGGAAUGGAGAUUAUCCACACCCUACUAUAAAAUAACGCUCCACUGGAGGUUAAGAUCCACAUUCUCACAUAAUUCAUCCUAUAAGAGAUGUCUGUCUGGAAAGAGAAAAUAAAAACCUUGAAGUGGAUUGGGUACCCAAAAGUAAAGAAAUGUUCAUAAUUGAUGCAUGUGCAUGCACAUAGAAUGGUGGGAUCACG